GCCGCGUGUGUGAAGAAGGCCUUAGGGUUGUAAAGCACUUUCAGACGUGAGGAAAAGUUAAGUCUUAAUACGGCUUAACCCUGACGUUAACGUCAGAAGAAGCACCGGCUAACUCCGUGCCAGCAGCCGCGGUAAUACGGAGGGUGCAAGCGUUAAUCGGAAUUACUGGGCGUAAAGCGCGCGUAGGCGGUUAAAUAAGUCAGAUGUGAAAGCCCCGGGCUCAACCUGGGAACCGCAUUUGAAACUGUUUAGCUAGAGUGUGGUAGAGGAGAGUGGAAUUUCAGGUGUAGCGGUGAAAUGCGUAGAUAUCUGAAGGAACAUCAGUGGCGAAGGCGGCUCUCUGGACCAACACUGACGCUGAGGUGCGAAAGCGUGGGUAGCAAACGGGAUUAGAUACCCCGGUAGUCCACGCCGUAAACGAUGUCAACUAACCGUUGGGCGGGUUUCCGCUUAGUGGUGCAGCUAACGCAAUAAGUUGACCGCCUGGGGAGUACGGCCGCAAGGCUAAAACUCAAAUGAAUUGACGGGGGCCCGCACAAGCGGUGGAGCAUGUGGUUUAAUUCGAUGCAACGCGAAGAACCUUACCUACCCUUGACAUACAGAGAACUUUCUAGAGAUAGAUUGGUGCCUUCGGGAACU
RNAcentral lists this ribosomal RNA (639 nucleotides) under uncultured bacterium. RNAcentral describes it as "bacterial SSU rRNA". It matches the Rfam family "Bacterial small subunit ribosomal RNA", at positions 396 to 1028 of the family's 1533-position model. The record is from RNAcentral.